AAGGAAGUGGAGACAGAAGAACUUGAAGGUGUUGCUUCUUGUCUUUCAGGGCCAGAGUUUUCAUGGAUAUUGGCAUACGUUUCUAUGAGAAGCUGCCACAGAGUCCUGCAGGACAAGUAUGGGGAGUUUUCUCCUCCAGCAUAUCACAGCGAUGCCCCAAUAAGCUUCUGGUGCAACUGGACUAUCCAGGCGGGCUCCAGAAAGCACAUAAUCAUUUAUAUUCAGGGAUUUAUGACUAAGGAGGAUUGCAACAAAAAUGAGGACAAAAUCUUGUUUGAAGGAGUUUCCUCACUGGUAGAGGACAGUGUGGUUUAUGCUUGCUGGAAAAAGGAGAUGCAUGUUUUUGCCACCUUUGCUGAGGCCGUCCAUGUUGUGUUACUGAAGACAUACCUGCCCAACUGCAGAGACACGCAAUUUAAAGGCAAGUAUUACAUCUUUCACGAUGAGGAAGGUGAAUCAUCCUCGAGAGAGGAUCUGAUUUCUGAAACUCCUUCAAAAGUACCGAAGCGAGAUCAUAUUCUUCAGUCUGGGGUGAUGGAAGACCUUAGAGAUGUGCUGAGCUUUGCAACCACUGCGAGCCUUGGGAGUCUUGAUAAGCCCACGGCAGUUAGCACUUUGAUCCCAGUGUCGCACCAAGGGCUGAGGACAGAGCUGCUGGAAACAAAUGCUCCUUAUGUGCUGGGCUGCCUGUGGCCGGCAGCUCCAGCGCUCUGUGGGCAGGACCCAGGCAGAGGAAGCUCUUGGAGUGCAAGCCCCACUGCAACCCUGGAUACCUGGAGGCCCAGUCUCUCCAUGAGUGGAGACAUUGCUGUGGAUUUUGGUUAUAUACAUGGAUUUUCAAGCGUGCUUUCUGAAACACCGUUGCUUGGUGCUUUGGAGGGAGAGGAGCCUUUCCUGGGGCCUGCUGGUGUGGGCUUGGAGAGCAGGCAGGUGUCCCUGAACCCUUCUCUGCAGCCCAAAGAUCUGGGAGACCCACAGUUUAACAUCAAACCAACGCACAUGAGUGACCUGGACUUGGCUGCACCUUCACAGGCUUUGUCUCCCAGCAGAGAAGAGGGCAUUGAUCCUGCCGUGUACCAGGGGCUCAGCACAGUUGGGUUGGAGAAGACCAAAAGGUGUCCCCUGUUGAGCAGUGUGGCUGAUGGAGCAGCGAGCAGUCUUGCCGAGAGCCUGAUGCCUAGCUUGACUAGCCAAAACGAUCUGGUAAAUGGGGGUCACUCACCACUGCUACCUGGGAGAAGCUUUUUUGAGGCUUUGUCCGUGACUGAACCUGAGCUGAGAACAAGUGUCCUCCAGCAUAUGACGUUUGUGGGUUUUCCUGCUCCGGGAAGUUUCAGGGGAGUUACUGAUGAGGUGAAGAAGGUGCUACAUCCUACAGCAUCGUGGGACAUCCUCAGAGGCCAACCUCAGCUGAGCACCCAGAGCAGCCAUGUCCUCCAGUUAGUCCCUACUGACCCCAGGAGGGUUGGCCCAUGCAGUGAUCAUGUGCCCUGUGCGCCCUCUUUGGGUGUGAAAAACUGUGGCUCUCUGAGCAGCACUGUGACACAGCUGCCGUUGGCCAUUCCCCUUCUGCCAGCAGCAUGGGGAUGUGCUCCCUCCACGUCAGAGCCAGUAUUUUCCACCCUGGGGAUGGAAAUGACUCCGAUGCUGGUGUGUCCCAGCCUAGACCCUGCCUCAACAGAGCUCGGCUCCCCUGAUUUCACCCUGGCAGCAUCUUUGCCUGCAGAACAGACUGCGGAGCUGGGGAUGUCAGAGCCUUUUGCUGUUUUCACUGCAAAUGCUGAGGCCUUCACAGCACUGCCAACCUGGGAGCUGGGGGGACUUGUCGAGGGGAUGGAGCCCCCUGUGCCAGCAGCCUUUCCCCUGGAAGGCUUGGACAAGGCUUGGACCUCCAUCUCCCCAAGCCCUCGACAGGGAAGUGACCUUAUGGGUCCCUUUGUGGCCUCCUCCAGCUGCCUCGGCCCCGGUGUGAGAAAGCUCGUGCUGGAUGGGGAUGGAGAGGAGGGCAGCUGGAGAGGUGAAGUGUUGGCUCCUGCAGGCUGGGCAGACAAGGGACCCAUCCCUGCUGCCAGUGCUGCUUGGCAGCAGGUCCUCGACCCACAGCUUGGCAUGGGGCUUCCUCAGCCAGAGGACCUGGUGGCGGCAUCUCUCCCAUCAGCACCUGUGUCUCUGCCCUCUGAUGACCCCGUAUCCCAAAACAUACGGAUACCAGCAGGAGGAGAACGUCACAAACAUGCUGAUCUGGCUUCUGUUUUGGCAUCCCUUGAGAAUGAUACUGUGCUACGAUCCCAGCACCAUCCUGGAGAUGUGCUGUUUGAAGUAACCAUUGAAACCAAACACGUGGACUGGGUCCCUCGUGGUGGAAGUGAGCUCAGAAAGGACCUUCUUGAAUCCAUGAAGAGUCAUAUCCGGGAGAACCUGAAACUCUCCACCAACAGAGUGAAUGAAAUAAAAUUAAAGGAAAUCAGAAGGGUGGGCAGAGACAACCUACUGCUCACCUUCUGGCUCCACCUGAAGCCCGAGGAGAGGAACCUGUCUCUGGCCCUGCAGUCGCAGCUGCAGGAGCUGCUUGGCACAUCUGUGGGAGCAGAGAGGCCGCGGCUGGUUUCGCUCUUUGUUGAAGAUGUGAACGAGUGCAACCUCGGCCUCUGCGGCGAGGAGGCCGACUGCUUCAACGGUGUGGGCACCUACCUGUGUCGCUGCAAGAAGGACUACGAAGAUCACUCCCCUACAAAAUCUGGCACGCUGUGCAUCCCCGCGCCCCGGUCAGGCAUCAGCUUUUUCUUCCGCCAUCCCGAGGUGCUGGUGGGGGCUGCUGUCUCCUCAGUGCUGGUGCUGCUGGUGGCCGUGGGCAUCCUGUGCGGGGUGGCAAGGCAACGGCGCCCCACCGGGGAUCCCUGCCCCGAGGAGCCGGGUGCCCAGUCCGAGGAGUCGUCACCAGUGGCAGUGGUGAUGGAGCUGAACCACCUGGAUGACUGCCUCCGCCUUGAGCCCUUCCAGCUCAAGGUCCGCGCGCGGCCCCCGGACUGGAUCUCCCAAGCCCGUGCCAGCCCUGGCCAGGCCUAUGGGGUCUUCAUCGAGCAGGAUGAGAGCCUGUGAUUGGCUGGUGAGGGAGGAGAGAAAGCUCAGAGCAACAAAACAAUAAAAACAAGAUGCAACCAGCA
Molecule: long non-coding RNA, 3164 nt
Organism: Struthio camelus australis
Lineage: Eukaryota; Metazoa; Chordata; Aves; Struthioniformes; Struthionidae
Source: Ensembl